RNAcentral lists this small RNA (122 nucleotides) under chicken gut metagenome. Its description in RNAcentral is "Ribosomal protein L10 leader". It matches the Rfam family "Ribosomal protein L10 leader". Rfam says of the family: This family is a putative r-protein leader autoregulatory structure found in B. subtilis and other low-GC Gram-positive bacteria. It is located in the 5' untranslated regions of mRNAs encoding ribosomal proteins L10 and L12 (rplJ-rplL). The record is from RNAcentral.
GUAUCACGCCGAAGACAGCAGGUGCCCCCGGGCAUAAGCAGCAUACGCCUGCCGAGGAAUAUACAUUCUGACUAGGAAUUGUACCUCACUGUCCUUGCGGCAGCGGGGAUUUUUUUAUUUCU